RNAcentral lists this long non-coding RNA (250 nucleotides) under Heterocephalus glaber (naked mole-rat). RNAcentral's name for it is "lncRNA (ENSHGLG00100050663.1)". The record is from RNAcentral. Lineage: Eukaryota; Metazoa; Chordata; Mammalia; Rodentia; Bathyergidae.
UUGCCUCAUACUUCUGCCACGCUUAUGCCAACACAUCAACUGCGCUUUAUGGAGCUUCCAGCUCACUGCAUCUGUGGCCCUCACUUCUCUGCCAGACUCCAUGUCCCGAAGGCUGACCUUGCAGAGUGCACCACCUGGGCUACCUGUUCAGUUCAACCAACAAGAAUUGUCCUCUUCCACUGCCUCAAUGCUAAGGAUCCAACUGUGGCUUCUCCUUUUAUAACAACUCCUGAUAGACUCUUACCAUAAC